This 136-nucleotide ribosomal RNA is filed under the name uncultured bacterium. RNAcentral's name for it is "partial 16S ribosomal RNA". It matches the Rfam family "Bacterial small subunit ribosomal RNA", at positions 344 to 497 of the family's 1533-position model. The record is from RNAcentral.
GGAGGCAGCAGUAGGGAAUAUUGCGCAAUGGGGGCAACCCUGACGCAGCAAUGCCGCGUGAGUGAAGAAGGCCUUCGGGUCGUAAAGCUCUUUUAUGGGGGAAGAUAGUGACGGUACCCCAUGAAUAAGCACCGGC